Molecule: long non-coding RNA, 3378 nt
Organism: Brachypodium distachyon (stiff brome)
Lineage: Eukaryota; Viridiplantae; Streptophyta; Magnoliopsida; Poales; Poaceae
Exons: 11
Source: RefSeq, a predicted model, not a curated record
GGUCGAGGACACCACGGAUGAGUUACAAGAGCAGCUUAAAAGUCUGGAGAACGGAGGAAGUCAAAAAAGGACUACUCGGCGGCGAUCUUCGAGAGGAAGAAGUCGUCCAGCCGGUUGGUGGUCGACGAGGCCAUGAAUGACGACAACUGCUGAAGGUAUGAGCAUCAGCGCUAUUUUUCUUCUAUUUUGGUCGAAUUCUGAGGGCACGCGUUGUUAUUUAGGAUGCUGAUCUGUGGCACCAAACUGAUCCCGUCACUCAACUAGCUCUAAUCGAGUAAGUAGAUCAUUGUUAGUCUGAUUGAGUAAGUAGGUACACCUGCCAAAUGUUCUGCUAGGCAAAGUGCAACAGGCAGAUGCUGCAUUAUGGGCCUUGGUAAGUCUGCAUUUUUUUUCCACCCUCUUAUGAUUAUUUUCCCCUACCUAGGUAACUAGCAGGCUUUAUACAUGGAGCAGAACAUAGCAAGUUGGUAGACUAGAUACUCUUUUCAGUUUUUAGAGUUGCCUUUGGUGCUGUAAGUUAGGUCACUAGAUUUUAGAGUUCCUGGUGGUAUUUUCCAGCUGUAGCUUGCCUUUCACUUGCUAACUAUAACUACUAUUCUAUUCUGAUAUACUUUACAUGUGGUCUUGCCUUAUAAUGCUGGAAAUUUAUUCUGAUGUAUGUUCCCAUCAUGCAGAAUAGGUAAUUUGUUGUGCAACACACAACGAGGAUACGAUUGGAUACUGUAAGGACCCUUGAUACACAUGGCCUAUUAUUUGGAUAUUGCUUUGAACUAACUAAAUUAACAUCUCAAAACAAGUAGCCAAGUUUGAUUCCUUGAUCUCUAUACAACAUUUGUUACAUUCUUUUUCUUUCAUUAUGAUUGUGUGCAGAUAGGUAAAUUUAAUGGGUGGCCAUACAGGCAAUGAUCUGUUCUCUAAUCCUACCUCUUUACAAAGCUCCUUGCUUUCUUCCAACUAUGCCUGUUUUCUCACAAUAGAUUGGUUUGCCUUGUCUGAGCUUAACACAGAAUCCAUGCAUGCUUGAUAAUUUAUAGGUGCAAUCUUCAGUUGAUGAACGUCAGAGGGCUUGGCAUAGGCCAUGUCAAGAGCCACCUCCAGAUGUACGCACGAGAAUCGACGACUCGGGCCAGAAGCCUGAUUAAUAGACUGGCAGACGUAUCAAAGUCUAGAAGGAACACCAGAGUAUAGUCCAAUCAACAUCGACAUGGACAGCCUCAACUGGAGGAACGACAAGAUCUGUGGCCCCGCAAGAAAAACAAAGCAGAUUGGGUAGGAUCGGCGACACGAGGACCAUAUGGGUAUCUGUACUUAACACACUUCGACCUAAAUUGCGUCUAUGGAAAUGAAUUCACCAUGAAGGCGGCGCAAGUUCAGCAUCUGCAGCACAUCAUUGGUUCAGCCAACCUAGAUAUCAGCAACCAAGUCUAUGCUAUGAAUAAAACUUUCACUUCAACAAAAAGAAUGGCCCUCGAAUGCCUUGUUGAUAAUUUAUCGCACGGGAAAGGGUUUUUUAUCAACAUAUAUGUAUCAAUCUUUUUCAUAUAUGGAGGAACGUGCUGCAUAGAAAUGGAUCUUUCAAGACGUAGCUCAUGCCAAGAUAAAUGGAGAUUGUCUAUAUUUGUUCAAUGAAUACAUGUGAAAGUAAAAGGAACGAAAAGACCGGCAACGCACCGGGAUUGUACCAGUAAUACUUAAUUUCCAGUUGUACAUACGUCGCGUCGCCUCCCGCAAAAGAAAACCCACGCCCGACCUACCCCUUCGAUGGAAAAAAGAAAUCUGACUCCUCUUCGACCCGAUGGCAAAAAGAAAAAUUGAAAUCCUCCUUCAACCCUGCGGAGGAAGAUGAGAUCCAGGCAGCGGCGGGAUAAGGCGACGGCCGCCGCAUCGGGAUCUACCGCCGUUCCUUGCCACCGCCUCCUGGCGGCGUGAGCCAAAGCCUGUCCCUGGGUCGUGUGUCCCGUACGACCUUGACGGCUCACCGGUAGCGAUGGUGUCGAGUCUGAGCAUCAGCAGGCGAUUCAGGCGGCCCUGGCUCCAUUCGUGGCGUUGCGGGGGAGGACGGCCUGCUGGAUCUGAGGCCGUGCAUGCGGGGGAUGGAAGGGAGAUGCGUCGCCAUCGCGCUCUCCUGGAUGCCGUCAAGAUCUGCCUCCCUCGACACCACCACGAACACCUGCUGGACUUCUCGCUCACCUGCGACGAAUCAGCCCGCCUCAUCUUCAUCAACACCUUGUUCUCUUCCCCAGCCCUUCACAGCGCCAUGGCCAUGGCAACAAUCCUUCUCUUUCCUGCGGCAUGCGGACAAUCCAUAAGUAGAGCCCGCUUGCGAAACCCUAGCGGGAGGGUUGGGACUGUUCCGCGAGAUCCUAGGAGACGAGGUUGCGGGGGACUUGGAGGCACGGAUUUAUGUGUUUGGCCGAUGGCGGCGGCGGGAUGGAGAUGGGGCCGACUGCGGCGGCGGGGCCGUUGAUGGAUGUGUCGGUAAUGCUUGACGGCAACCGGUACGACCUGGUUCGUUACAUCGAGGCCGGCAACUUGGGCGUAGCCCACCAUAUGCGCUGACUCGAAUACAACGACCACGGCGAGAAGUGUGUGUGUGCAGUGCAGAGGGAAAUCAUCAACCACAGGUUGCUGCAAUCAAAUCUUCUGAAACAUGAAUGUUUAAUUCAGAAGUGGAUAAGCAAGGCCCUUUCAAGUUUUGCUCCACCAUGUUGUGUGAAUGGCUGGGUGUAAAAGGCACUUAGGCGGUGAAUCAGAUUGAAAACAUGUUUGCCAAGCAUCUUGGAUAAAUUAUCCUUCUGCCUUAAUCAGGAUUGACCAUAAUGAACUCGGUCAAGCUCAGGAGGACAUAGAUCAUCUCCUCCGUGGUGGCCCGCCAGGUGUGGACGGUUGUUUUGGGACAUUGGGACAGAACUAGCUGGGCUCCGACGGGUCAUCAGACUCUUGCUAGCUGGUGGACGGGUUUGAAGAUCGCUAACAAGAAGGAGAGGAAGAACUUGAACACGGCGGUAACUCUUGUUUGUUGGAGUGUUUGGAAGCAUCGGAAUGUUGUGGUCUUUGAUGGCGCCACCCCGAGUGUGAUGCAGAUUCUUAGUGACAUAGGUCGGGAGAGCAGCGCUUGAAGAAGGGCUGGCUUGCUUAAGGAGAAUUACCCCCCUUUAGUAAUUUUGGUUUUGUGGAUCUUAUGUGGACCUUGAGUGACUGGUUGUGUAUGACCGCCUUGGGCGUGUAACUGCUUCGCGGAUUUCUUCUUUAAUAUAUGAUAUACCCGUCGAGGUAUAUUCUAGAAAAAAAUUUAAUCAGGAUGAACUCCUAUGGUACAUGGACACUGGGUAGCAUGUAAGUGGAGAAUUGAGAUGCCUCCCUUCUAUGUUUCGUUGC